UUGCUUCGGCACCACAUGUACUAAAAUUGGAACAACACAGAGAUUAGCAUGACCCCCUGCAAAGGGUGACAUGGAAAUUCAUGAAGCACUCCAUAUUUUU
Molecule: small nuclear RNA, 100 nt
Organism: Ochotona princeps (American pika)
Lineage: Eukaryota; Metazoa; Chordata; Mammalia; Lagomorpha; Ochotonidae
Source: Ensembl